GACGAACGCUGGCGGCGUGCUUAACACAUGCAAGUCGAGCGGUAAGGCCCUUUCGGGGGUACACGAGCGGCGAACGGGUGAGUAACACGUGGGUGACCUGCCCUCAGCUCUGGGAUAAGCCUGGGAAACCGGGUCUAAUACUGGAUAUGACUCCAUGACGCAUGUUGUGGGGUGGAAAGCCUUGUGCGGCUGGGGAUGGGCCCGCGGCCUAUCAGCUUGUUGGUGGGGUGAUGGCCUACCAAGGCGACGACGGGUAGCCGGCCUGAGAGGGCGACCGGCCACACUGGGACUGAGACACGGCCCAGACUCCUACGGGAGGCAGCAGUGGGGGAUCUUGCGCAAUGGGCGAAAGCCUGACGCAGCGACGCCGCGUGAGGGAUGACGGCCUGGU
Molecule: ribosomal RNA, 391 nt
Filed under: uncultured bacterium
Lineage: Bacteria
Description: bacterial SSU rRNA
Rfam family: Bacterial small subunit ribosomal RNA
Source: RNAcentral